UAAGGUACUCUUUUAGAGUAACGGCAGGAAAAAUGACUAAGGUUUCGACUAUGUCAAAGUAUCCUUGAAAGUGCCACAGUGACGAAGCGAUGUGGGAAACUCCAUCGGUGGAACGCGGUAAACCCCUCGAGCGAGCAACCCAAACAAUGGUAGGGGCGCUCUUCUAAAGGAAAUGAACGAGUAGAAGAGGCAGAGUUUACUCUGCAGAUAGAUGAUGACCGUCACCAAUUUUUCCUGAAGAAUUGGUGAUACAGAACAUGGCUUAUAGAA
This 270-nucleotide RNase P RNA is filed under the name Enterococcus faecalis. RNAcentral's name for it is "partial RNase P RNA component class B". It matches the Rfam family "Bacterial RNase P class B", at positions 100 to 365 of the family's 365-position model. Rfam says of the family: Ribonuclease P (RNase P) is a ubiquitous endoribonuclease, found in archaea, bacteria and eukarya as well as chloroplasts and mitochondria. Lineage: Bacteria; Bacillati; Bacillota; Bacilli; Lactobacillales; Enterococcaceae. The record is from RNAcentral.